This 844-nucleotide unclassified non-coding RNA is filed under the name Leishmania donovani. RNAcentral's name for it is "gene:unknown". Lineage: Eukaryota; Euglenozoa; Kinetoplastea; Trypanosomatida; Trypanosomatidae. The record is from RNAcentral.
CUCACAUGCUCCUGUGCGUACACGCAAACGCACAUCCCACUCGACGGAGUUGCCGAGGGCGCCCGACCAUUCAUAACGUGGUGGACACCGACAAACACUCUCAACCUCUCUCUCUGACGCCCUGCCUAGUUCUUUGCCUCCUCGUCAUACCCCAAGCUUGCACGUCCUCUUUUCUCUCCCCGCAGCUUCGCACCUCUUCUCGGGCGCGCCCCGGAACGCCUCCAAAACAAAGGCGCGCAGCUCCGGCGUCGAAGGAAAGCGUGGGGGUAGAUAGACGAGGAAGGUGUACGAGAAUGCGAUCGGACGAUGGAGAGAGAGAGAGCGUUAGCGUUCUGCCGCGCGCAACCGGUGCGGCGACGUUGUUGUUGUGGGGCAUUGAUCCCUUCCUCGUCUUCGCUUUCCCUGUUCUCUUUUCCAUUCGUUCCCACGUGUGCACCGUGAGGCUCACGUCUGCGGGUGCGCGUGACGGGGUGUUAGAGUGGCUGGCUUGUGUGCGUCUCUAUCUUUUUUUUCUUUUCGUUGUUUUGUUGCUUUUGCCGCCCUUCCCUUUAUUUUGCAGUAGUUGCUUUGGUUGGAAGGAGGUCCCGAAACGCUGCUCGUUUUAUCCGUAUGUCUGCCUCGGCGUGUCCCGCGCCGGUGUCUGGCACACCUCACGCCAUUAUGCGCUCCGCUGCUCCAUAAGGUGCAUGUAGCAUUGCGCUCACGCGCUCCUUCCCAUCACUCUUCCUCAUCACUUAGGUGUUUUGUUCUCCCUUCUUGUUUUCUUCUCUUCUCACAUGCCCAGCAUGUGCGCCGCGGCGCGCCUCGUUUCUGCUCGCGUGCAUUCUCUACUGUAAAACAUGAG